This 497-nucleotide ribosomal RNA is filed under the name uncultured bacterium. RNAcentral's name for it is "partial 16S ribosomal RNA". It matches the Rfam family "Bacterial small subunit ribosomal RNA", at positions 28 to 507 of the family's 1533-position model. The record is from RNAcentral.
GAUGAACGCUGGCGGCGUGCCUAAUACAUGCAAGUCGAGCGAACAGACGAGGAGCUUGCUCCUCUGACGUUAGCGGCGGACGGGUGAGUAACACGUGGAUAACCUACCUAUAAGACUGGGAUAACUUCGGGAAACCGGAGCUUAUACCGGAUAAUAUAUUGAACCGCAUGGUUCUAUAGUUAAUGACGGUUUUGCUGUCACUUAUAGAUGGAUCCGCGCCGCAUUAGCUAGUUGGUAAGGUAACGGCUUACCAAGGCAACGAUGCGUAGCCGACCUGAGAGGGGGAGCGGCCAAACUGGAAGUGAGAAAGGGAAAAGAAGACUAGGGGAGGAAGAAGAAGGGAAUAUGCGGCAAUGGGGGAAAGCAUGACGGAGAAAGGCAGAGUGAGAGAAGAAGGACUUCGGAUCGUAAAAAAAUGUUAUGAGGGAAGAAAAAAAGUGUAAGUAAAGAUGCACGAAGUGACGGUAACGAAACAGAAAGAAACGGCUAACUACGUG